RNAcentral lists this ribosomal RNA (207 nucleotides) under uncultured bacterium. Its description in RNAcentral is "partial 16S ribosomal RNA". It matches the Rfam family "Bacterial small subunit ribosomal RNA", at positions 123 to 334 of the family's 1533-position model. The record is from RNAcentral.
CAUCUACCCUUAAGUACGGAAUACCGGCGAGAAGUCGGCGACAAUACCGCAUACGCUUCUUUUCACAAAGAAGGAAAGCUCGCAAGGGCGCUUGAGGAUGACCCUGCGGCUGAUUAGCUAGUUGGUGAGGUAAUAGCUCACCAAGGCGACGAUCAGUAGCUGGUCUGAGAGGAUGAUCAGCCAGACUGGGACUGAGACACGGCCCAG